This 482-nucleotide ribosomal RNA is filed under the name uncultured bacterium. Its description in RNAcentral is "partial 16S ribosomal RNA". It matches the Rfam family "Bacterial small subunit ribosomal RNA", at positions 28 to 507 of the family's 1533-position model. The record is from RNAcentral.
GACGAACGCUGGCGGCGUGCUUAACACAUGCAAGUCGAACGCUGAGGCUCAGCUUUUGUUGGGUGGAUGAGUGGCGAACGGGUGAGUAACACGUGAGUAACCUGCCCCCUUCUUUGGGAUAACGCCCGGAAACGGGUGCUAAUACUGGAUAUUCACUGGUCUUCGCAUGGGGGUUGGUGGAAAGGGUUUUUCUGGUGGGGGAUGGGCUCGCGGCCUAUCAGCUUGUUGGUGGGGUGAUGGCCUACCAAGGCUUUGACGGGUAGCCGGCCUGAGAGGGUGACCGGUCACAUUGGGACUGAGAUACGGCCCAGACUCCUACGGGAGGCAGCAGUGGGGAAUAUUGCACAAUGGGCGCAAGCCUGAUGCAGCGACGCCGCGUGAGGGAUGGAGGCCUCGGGUUGUGAACCUCUUUCGCUCAUGGUCAAGCCGCAACAAUGGUUGUGGUGAGGGUAGUGGGUAAAGAAGCGCCGGCUAACUACGUG